Molecule: ribosomal RNA, 400 nt
Filed under: uncultured bacterium
Lineage: Bacteria
Description: bacterial SSU rRNA
Rfam family: Bacterial small subunit ribosomal RNA
Source: RNAcentral
UGAGGAAUUUUUCCGCAAUGGGCGAAAGCCUGACGGAGCGACGCCGCGUGGGUGAUGAAGGUUUUCGGAUCGUAAAACCCUUUUAGAGGGAAAGAAAUCCGCGGGGUUAACAGCCGCGCGGGAUGACUGUACCCUCAGAAAAAGCUCCGGCCAACUACGUGCCAGCAGCCGCGGUAAUACGUAGGGAGCGAGCGUUAUCCGGAAUCACUGGGCGUAAAGGGCUCGUAGGCGGUUUGCUAAGUUGCAUGUUAAAUCUCCGGGCUCAACCCGGAAACCGCGUGCAAUACUGCCAAGCUAGAGAGCGGGAGAGGGAAAUGGAAUUCCCGGUGUAGCGGUGAAAUGCAUAGAUAUCGGGAAGAACAUCAGUGGCGAAGGCGAUUUCCUAGACCGUUUCUGACGC